This is a small nucleolar RNA of Ornithorhynchus anatinus (platypus), 143 nucleotides long. The record is from RefSeq and is a predicted model, not a curated record. NCBI's taxonomy places the organism in Eukaryota, Metazoa, Chordata, Mammalia, Monotremata, Ornithorhynchidae.
CCCCUUUCAGGAUCGCAACUGGAGAGUUUCCAGUACUCUACCAGUCUUGGCUAUGGGAGGGAGAAUCAAGCAGAGUAUGCCUCUACCCACUCCAUUCCUAGCUUAGACAGUGGCUAGUGAGUGGAAGGCAAUAUGCUACAAGU